CAGACCUGCUGCUCAUUCAGACCCUCCUCUUCCUCACAGUCAUGUUGUUGUGGGAGGUCUUAAGGAACAAAGAAAUACACGAAAAAAAGAGUACCCAUAGGAAAUCAUCCGCCUCCAUGAGACCUUGUCUCCAGCAUCCUCCUCUUACACACCAACUCUCUUGAUUUCCUCUUUCACUACAUCCAUGAACUCUGUGGUCUUUCCUUCUCUCUCUCUCUGCCUUCUAACAAACAUCUCUAGCUGCUGUUCAUGUGUAGUGAAUAUAGGCUGUCAGAUCAUGGUUUACCUCAUAAUGUUGGUGGUGAAGCUUCUACAACGGGGGUCUUAAACUUACAUGAACUGCGGGCCACUGUUGACA
Molecule: long non-coding RNA, 358 nt
Organism: Oreochromis niloticus (Nile tilapia)
Lineage: Eukaryota; Metazoa; Chordata; Actinopteri; Cichliformes; Cichlidae
Exons: 2
Source: RefSeq, a predicted model, not a curated record